Molecule: ribosomal RNA, 636 nt
Filed under: Penicillium steckii
Lineage: Eukaryota; Fungi; Ascomycota; Eurotiomycetes; Eurotiales; Aspergillaceae
Description: eukaryotic LSU rRNA
Rfam family: Eukaryotic large subunit ribosomal RNA
Source: RNAcentral
GGUUGACCUCGGAUCAGGUAGGGAUACCCGCUGAACUUAAGCAUAUCAAUAAGCGGAGGAAAAGAAACCAACCGGGAUUGCCCUAGUAACGGCGAGUGAAGCGGCAAGAGCUCAAAUUUGAAAGCUGGCUCCUUCGGGGUCCGCAUUGUAAUUUGCAGAGGAUGCUUCGGAAUCGGCCCCCAUCUAAGUGCCCUGGAACGGGCCGUCAUAGAGGGUGAGAAUCCCGUCUGGGAUGGGGUGUCCGUGCCCGUGUGAAGCUCCUUCGACGAGUCGAGUUGUUUGGGAAUGCAGCUCUAAUUGGGUGGUAAAUUUCAUCUAAAGCUAAAUAUUGGCCGGAGACCGAUAGCGCACAAGUAGAGUGAUCGAAAGAUGAAAAGCACUUUGAAAAGAGAGUUAAAAAGCACGUGAAAUUGUUGAAAGGGAAGCGCUUGCGACCAGACUCGCCCGCGGGGUUCAGCCGGCAUUCGUGCCGGUGUACUUCCCCGCGGGCGGGCCAGCGUCGGUUUGGGCGGCCGGUCAAAGGCCCCUGGAAUGUAACGCCUCUCGGGGCGUCUUAUAGCCAGGGGUGCCAUGCGGCCUGCCCGGACCGAGGAACGCGCUUCGGCUCGGACGCUGGCAUAAUGGUCGUAAGCGACC